This 720-nucleotide ribosomal RNA is filed under the name Bacillus vallismortis. RNAcentral's name for it is "bacterial SSU rRNA". It matches the Rfam family "Bacterial small subunit ribosomal RNA", at positions 173 to 881 of the family's 1533-position model. The record is from RNAcentral. Lineage: Bacteria; Bacillati; Bacillota; Bacilli; Caryophanales; Bacillaceae.
UGUUUGAACCGCAUGGUUCAGACAUAAAAGGUGGCUUCGGCUACCACUUACAGAUGGACCCGCGGCGCAUUAGCUAGUUGGUGAGGUAACGGCUCACCAAGGCAACGAUGCGUAGCCGACCUGAGAGGGUGAUCGGCCACACUGGGACUGAGACACGGCCCAGACUCCUACGGGAGGCAGCAGUAGGGAAUCUUCCGCAAUGGACGAAAGUCUGACGGAGCAACGCCGCGUGAGUGAUGAAGGUUUUCGGAUCGUAAAGCUCUGUUGUUAGGGAAGAACAAGUGCCGUUCAAAUAGGGCGGCACCUUGACGGUACCUAACCAGAAAGCCACGGCUAACUACGUGCCAGCAGCCGCGGUAAUACGUAGGUGGCAAGCGUUGUCCGGAAUUAUUGGGCGUAAAGGGCUCGCAGGCGGUUUCUUAAGUCUGAUGUGAAAGCCCCCGGCUCAACCGGGGAGGGUCAUUGGAAACUGGGGAACUUGAGUGCAGAAGAGGAGAGUGGAAUUCCACGUGUAGCGGUGAAAUGCGUAGAGAUGUGGAGGAACACCAGUGGCGAAGGCGACUCUCUGGUCUGUAACUGACGCUGAGGAGCGAAAGCGUGGGGGAGCGAACAGGAUUAGAUACCCUGGUAGUCCACGCCGUAAACGAUGAGUGCUAAGUGUUAGGGGGUUUCCGCCCCUUAGUGCUGCAGCUAACGCAUUAAGCACUCCGCCUGGGGAGU